Molecule: ribosomal RNA, 301 nt
Filed under: uncultured bacterium
Lineage: Bacteria
Description: partial 16S ribosomal RNA
Rfam family: Bacterial small subunit ribosomal RNA
Source: RNAcentral
CAGUCGCCGCGGGAAUACGAAGGGGGCUAGCGUUGUUCGGAUUUACUGGGCGUAAAGGGUGCGUAGGCGGAUUGUUAAGUCAGGGGUGAAAUCCCGAGGCUCAACCUCGGAACUGCCUUUGAUACUGGCGAUCUUGAGUCCGGGAGAGGUGAGUGGAACUGCGAGUGUAGAGGUGAAAUUCGUAGAUAUUCGCAAGAACACCGGUGGCGAAGGCGGCUCACUGGCCCGGCACUGACGCUGAGGCACGAAAGCGUGGGGAGCAAACAGGAUUAGAGACCCGCGUAGUCCCUGUCUCUUAUAC